CCUACGGGUGGCAGCAGUGAGGAAUAUUGGGCAAUGGAGGAGAGUCUGAACCAGCCAAGUAGCGUGAAGGAUGACUGCCCUAUGGGUUGUAAACUUCUUUUAUAUGGGAAUAAAAUGUUCCACGUGUGGGAUUUUGUAUGUACCAUAUGAAUAAGGAUCGGCUAACUCCGGGCCAGCAGCCGUGGUAAUACGGAGGAUCCGAGCGUUGUCCGGAUUUAUUGGGGUUAAGGGGAGCGUAGGUGGAUUGUUAAGUCAGUUGUGAAAGUUUGCGGCUCAACCGGAAAAUUGCAGUUGAAACUGGCAGUCUUGAGUACAGUAGAGGUGGGCGGAAUUCGUGGUGUAGCGGUGAAAUGCUUAGAUAUGACGAAGAACUCCGAUUGCGAAGGCAGCUCACUGGACAUCAACUGACACUGAGGCUCGAAAGUGUGGGGAUCAAACAGGAUUAGAUACCCUUGUAGUC
Molecule: ribosomal RNA, 460 nt
Filed under: uncultured bacterium
Lineage: Bacteria
Description: partial 16S ribosomal RNA
Rfam family: Bacterial small subunit ribosomal RNA
Source: RNAcentral